This 298-nucleotide ribosomal RNA is filed under the name uncultured soil bacterium. RNAcentral's name for it is "partial 16S ribosomal RNA". It matches the Rfam family "Bacterial small subunit ribosomal RNA", at positions 26 to 326 of the family's 1533-position model. The record is from RNAcentral.
AGAUUGAACGCUGGCGGCAUGCCUUACACAUGCAAGUCGAACGGCAGCACGGGAGCAAUCCUGGUGGCGAGUGGCGAACGGGUGAGUAAUACAUCGGAACGUGCCCAAUCGUGGGGGAUAACGCAGCGAAAGCUGUGCUAAUACCGCAUAAGAUCUACGGAUGAAAGCAGGGGAUCGCAAGACCUUGCGCGAAUGGAGCGGCCGAUGGCAGAUUAGGUAGUUGGUGAGGUAAAGGCUCACCAAGCCUUCGAUCUGUAGCUGGUCUGAGAGGACGACCAGCCACACUGGGACUGAGACA